UACAGGGGGUGCAAACGUUGCUCGGAAUUACUGGGCGUAAAGCGUGCGUAGGUGGUUUGUUAAGUCUGUUGUGAAAGCCCCGGGCUCAACCUGGGAAUGGCAAUGGAUACUGGCAAGCUAGAGUGCGGUAGAGGGUAGUGGAAUUCCCGGUGUAGCGGUGAAAUGCGUAGAGAUCGGGAGGAACACCAGUGGCGAAGGCGGCUACCUGGACCAGCACUGACACUGAGGCACGAAAGCGUGGGGAGCAAACAGG
RNAcentral lists this ribosomal RNA (253 nucleotides) under uncultured bacterium. RNAcentral describes it as "partial 16S ribosomal RNA". It matches the Rfam family "Bacterial small subunit ribosomal RNA", at positions 524 to 776 of the family's 1533-position model. The record is from RNAcentral.